AAAACAAAUUACACUUUUAACUUCCAAAGAAAAUUCUUCAAACAUCAAGCCUUAAAAUAUAAGCACACUUAAACUAUCAUUAAUACACAGAUAGAACAUUUAACAGGUUGCAACUCAAUUAAACUAACACAAUUAAGGAUUAAUUUCCAAAUUAUACACAAGUUGUGCUGAGCAUUUUAUUUGUCCUUUAGGAGUCUGAAUAAGAAGAGAACGAACUUUUCCAUCUCUUCCUGGAUAUAGCUCUAAAAUUUUCCCCAUCAUCCACGUAUUUCUGAUCUUAGAUUAAGUAAAGACACCAACCUUUUACCAAUAAGAAAAUGAGAUGGGAUGAGUGGAGAGGGUUCUGAGGGUUCGUUGUACAGAUAACGUGAUAGGCCUGGAAUUAACCAGAGCUUCAAUUUCCGAAAAAAGUUUCCAAUUCCUUCAAAGAGAGAGAGGAUCGUCCAACAAUUUUCUUUACGCAGGAGUUUGUCCAGAUCAUCUAAAGUUUCCAUGUGACUCUGUGUUUAUCUGUGUUGUCUGUGUAACUGUCAAUAAUACUGCUUGCAUUUAUUUUAUUUUGUGGUGUGUAAAAUCAGUACAAAAAUGGAAAUUGCUCAUACUAAAACUCGUGAAGAAAUAUUAGAGCAAUUCGGAACAGAUCCAGAAAGGGGUUUAUCACCGACUCAAGUUAGAAAUUUACAAGAGAAAUAUGGUCCCAA
Molecule: long non-coding RNA, 701 nt
Organism: Stegodyphus dumicola
Lineage: Eukaryota; Metazoa; Arthropoda; Arachnida; Araneae; Eresidae
Source: RefSeq, a predicted model, not a curated record